RNAcentral lists this ribosomal RNA (497 nucleotides) under uncultured bacterium. RNAcentral describes it as "partial 16S ribosomal RNA". It matches the Rfam family "Bacterial small subunit ribosomal RNA", at positions 28 to 507 of the family's 1533-position model. The record is from RNAcentral.
GAUGAGCGCUGGCGGCGUGCCUAAUACAUGCAAGUCGAGCGAACGGACGAGAAGCUUGCUUCUCUGAUGUUAGCGGCGGACGGGUGAGUAACACGUGGAUAACCUACCUAUAAGACUGGGAUAACUUCGGGAAACCGGAGCUAAUACCGGAUAAUAUUUUGAACCGCAUGGUUCAAAAGUGAAAGACGGUCUUGCUGUCACUUAUAGAUGGAUCCGCGCUGCAUUAGCUAGUUGGUAAGGUAACGGCUUACCAAGGCAACGAUGCAUAGCCGACCUGAGAGGGUGAUCGGCCACACUGGAACUGAGACACGGUCCAGACUCCUACGGGAGGCAGCAGUAGGGAAUCUUCCGCAAUGGGCGAAAGCCUGACGGAGCAACGCCGCGUGAGUGAUGAAGGUCUUCGGAUCGUAAAACUCUGUUAUUAGGGAAGAACAUAUGUGUAAGUAACUGUGCACAUCUUGACGGUACCGAAUCAGAAAGCCACGGCUAACUACGUG